Molecule: unclassified non-coding RNA, 452 nt
Filed under: Hevea brasiliensis (rubber tree)
Lineage: Eukaryota; Viridiplantae; Streptophyta; Magnoliopsida; Malpighiales; Euphorbiaceae
Source: RNAcentral
GGCACAAUGAAAACACCACAAUGAUAUGAGAAUGGGACGGAAUUGUCCUUGGCAUCUAGAAGUACAGCUCUGUAAGUGAAACGAGAACAUCCUUGCCCACCCAAAGNCUUUAUGGUGGUUGCUGAGAAAGAUAUUUCUACUGAUUAGCUCCUAAUUGCAGAUCUUCAAGAGAGUACAAUAUGUCAGAACCACUGGAAUAUUCUCUACGAAUCCGAUUCUCAUUUUCAAUCAUUUUCAACAGCUUCAUGCAGACCAGCAGCCUGGUUGCCGCUGCAAUCUAGAGAACGAUGAUCAAAUGAUGAUGUUAUCUGGAGCAAAUCAGUAGAAAUAUCUUUCUCAGCAACCACCAUAAAGGUACAAAGCCUAGGCUUGCUAGAUGGUUUCUGUGGGAUAGCGUGAACACUCAUUUUCCACCCAAACCGAAACUUAGAGAAUAGCAAACCUAAAACAUG